CAGUAGCCGCGGUAAUACGGAGGGUGCAAGCGUUAAUCGGAAUUACUGGGCGUAAAGCGUGCGUAGGCGGUUCGUUAAGUCUGUUGUGAAAGCCCCGGGCUCAACCUGGGAAUGGCAAUGGAUACUGGCGAGCUAGAGUGUGUCAGAGGAUGGUGGAAUUCCCGGUGUAGCGGUGAAAUGCGUAGAGAUCGGGAGGAACAUCAGUGGCGAAGGAGGCCAUCUGGGACAACACUGACGCUGAGGCACGAAAGCGUGGGGAGCAAACAGGAUUAGAUACCCGUGUAGUCCCUGUCUCUUAUAC
Molecule: ribosomal RNA, 301 nt
Filed under: uncultured bacterium
Lineage: Bacteria
Description: partial 16S ribosomal RNA
Rfam family: Bacterial small subunit ribosomal RNA
Source: RNAcentral